Molecule: ribosomal RNA, 674 nt
Filed under: uncultured bacterium
Lineage: Bacteria
Description: bacterial SSU rRNA
Rfam family: Bacterial small subunit ribosomal RNA
Source: RNAcentral
GUUGAAAAAGUUGGUGGUGAAAUCCCAGAGCUUAACUCUGGAACUGCCAUCAAAACUUUUCAGCUAGAGUAUGAUAGAGGAAAGCAGAAUUUCUAGUGUAGAGGUGAAAUUCGUAGAUAUUAGAAAGAAUACCAAUUGCGAAGGCAGCUUUCUGGAUCAUUACUGACACUGAGGAACGAAAGCAUGGGUAGCGAAGAGGAUUAGAUACCCUCGUAGUCCAUGCCGUAAACGAUGUGUGUUAGACGUUGGAAAUUUAUUUUCAGUGUCGCAGCGAAAGCGAUAAACACACCGCCUGGGGAGUACGACCGCAAGGUUAAAACUCAAAUGAAUUGACGGGGACCCGCACAAGUAGUGGAGCAUGUGGUUUAAUUCGAAGAUACGCGCAGAACCUUACCAACACUUGACAUGUUCGUCGCGACUCUAAGAGAUUAGAGUUUUCGGUUCGGCCGGACGAAACACAGGUGCUGCAUGGCUGUCGUCAGCUCGUGUCGUGAGAUGUUGGGUUAAGUCCCGCAACGAGCGCAACCCUCACUUUUAGUUGCCAUCAUUAAGUUGGGCACUCUGAAAGAACUGCCAGUGAUAAGCUGGAGGAAGGUGGGGAUGACGUCAAGUCCUCAUGGCCCUUACGUGUUGGGCUACACACGUGCUACAAUGGUAUCUACAACAGGAAGCAA